CCGCUCCCAUUCUGCAAAUCGUUAAUCUCAGAUUUGGAAGGAGGACGAAUCGGAAGAGGCGGAGCUGGUGCGGCGGAAAUCGUGGAAGGAGGAGGACGCUCGACGAUCGGAGGAGAUGGAGCGACGGCGGUGGCGGCGGGAGGAGGGCGAUCGUCGGGGAUGGGAGAAGGAGAGGAGGACCAGAGGGAACUGUUGAGCCACUCAGGGACACCUUUCUUCGCCAUUGUUUUUGAGGAAAAAUGUUUGGAGUCUCUUCUUGCUUCUUGCUACUUCUCUCUCUCUCUCGGGGGAGAGGUUAAGACCAAAAGGAGUUCCGUGUACAGCUGGCUGGCUGGCUGGGCCACGCUCUCUUAAUGCGUCCUUUUCUUUUUUCUAAAAUCCCCCUAAAUAAUACAACCUACUGCCAAAAUUGCAUAAAUUGACAUCAUUUUCCUUAUUUUCCACACUAUAUUUUUAUCUUCUUGUUACUAAACAAACUAGUGAUCGAAUUUUCACAUUUUACUAAGUCUUAAACUUAUCAUCUUUCAUGAGAUCCGUUAAACCAUUAUAAGUUAAUUUUGAUCAUAAGAUGUUAUAUCAACAUCGUGUGUAAUGAGUUGAUUUUUUCAAAAAAAAAAAAAAAGGUAAUGAGAUGACAUUAUGUUAUGGUGGGGUGGACCAUAUGAUAAACGAAAUCUAUUAAUAAGGAAAUUAACUGAGUUGAAAUACAAGCAAAGAGAUGUUACAAUGUAUAAGAAAUUGCCAACAUCAGGAACUUGAAGUUUUCUGCGAACAAGGAAUCAACCAAGAAACCGAAUCAAGCCAUAGCUAUAAACGUACCGAUCCAUUUUCUUGAGUCUUCAACAAAAUGUUUUAGAAUUCUCCAAGAAGAAGAUAGUAAGCAGCAAUAAUAAAACACAGCAGAAAAGACGCGAAGAGAAGGAAGAUGUAACAGUAUGGGAAAAGGACGAUCAUAAUCAUUAACAAGAUUAGUGAAAUCGUUCCACAACUCAUGACUGCUCUUUGCUUUUGUUGGAAGAAAACCAGGAGUUUUUUUUCUUUUUGACUUUGAACAAAAUAUUUGUCACACAAUUACUUCUUCAAUACACAAUUACUUCUUCAAUUUUUUUUAAUUUAUGAUUCAGAUCAUUUACCAAAUCAAACCAAGAAAAGAAACUUCCGUGAAAUGAUCAAAGAAUAAAAAUAUAAGAUCUGACAUCCUAAAAACUCUCUAUCUAUAAUAUCUGUUACACAUAAUUACCAUCAGAAAUCUCAACACUGAAGCAAGGUUUGAUCUGAGAUAUUCUCAGGCAGCUAAAGUUAACUUACACAAUCAUGUACAUAUGAUGAAAGAAAGUUGCAGAGUCUAUGAAUUCAAAACAACAAGGAGAAAGGGACUGAAUGAUUGUUAAAACCUGACGAUCUUUAUUUAUUUUAUUUAGAGCGCAAUUUAUCUGCGACAUAGAGCAUAUGGCUGAUGUUUGUAGGAGGAUAGUUUUGAAGAAGUUUGAGGUUCGACGUGAAAUCACCAGCCAGCAGACGCCUUCGUACUAGUAUCAACAUUGCACAACAUACUCGUAGUAGCGUCUCCUGCAAAUUAAUGUUUCAUUUUCACUUGUUAGCCUUCUCUCUUACAAAACAGCAAGUGCAUGUAGAGCCAAUUUACGAUAAGAUGCAAAGAGAAUCUCUAUGACUAUACCACGUACAAAAGCCAUAUCGUUGUUAAUGUCUCCUAAUUCUUCCCUACAUACAUGCACGUUAUAUUGUCCUAAACUAAGCUGCUUAGAGGUAUUGAAAUGAAACCCUUAAUGACUCAAGUCACUCACAAGAAUGGAAUUCACUUAGGAAACUGAAUGGUAAUAAAUUGAAUACUACCUGUGGACCUUCGGGGUCGCUUAAGAGUGUGUCCCAGAUGUGAAGGCUUUCCACGAAGUUGAACUCUUGAGUCAAGAGGAGUGUGAUCCAUCUGAACGCAUAGAAUUGUGGGUUUAUCUGAAAAUUGACAAAUGGGGUAUCAACUAUCACAACGCUGAAACACUUCUAUAAAAUUACCGAAGCUCCAAAAAACGAAAAUUUUGAAAGCAAGGCGUCUCAUCAGUGAUAUCUUACUUUAGUUGUGACUUCUAGGUGACGCCAAAGUUCUUCAUCAUGAUGCUUUAAGAGCAUGGACAGCCUUGUUAUAGUGUAACGUAUACCCACCACACUGUUAUCAAGUUGCUGACAGAAAUUAUCUCGAAACCCACUCAUCAAUUCAACAAAACAGAAAAAUGCAUCUGCUUCAGCAUACGCCUGCAACACUUAAAAUGCCAGCGUUAAGCAAAUAAGGGGGGACGAGGUGGUGUUCUAUCCAAAAGACAUCCAUUAGAAGUAGAAAAAUGUGAGUAUAAAUAAAACAAGGAAAAAAAAAGAAAUGGUACAUUAGCAAGAGCUACUCACUGCAUUUCCUUUAUCUGGGUCAUUUUUAAAGAUGUAGAAGAUAGGUGCCAAUAUCUCAUUCAUCCCUUGUACAUAUCUGAUGCCAGGAUUCAACUUUGCAAAGAUAGUCAACACGUUCUUCAAAGCAUCCUGAAGAUGCAAGACAUGUACAAAAUGACCGGGAAGACUAUUAAUAUGCACAUGUUUCAACCAAACGCUUUAAAUAGGCAAACCCAAAAUCCAACCUGAUUAGAUUUUGCUACCGGGGAAUCUCCAGAGAAAAAGUGCAUGUCUGGAUGCGUACGCAUCACAUCACGGUCGAUCUGUUCCAAGACUUCCGUGUCCUGAAAGUACCAGUUUAAAAUUAGGAAGGUCAUUUUGCAGCUUUAAAUGCAACAUGAAAAAAACAGUACUAAACCACGAAGAGAAAAUGAUAUUUCAUAGUGAUUAUGUGCAGUCACCAAAGAGUCAUGCUUUUACAACCAACCGUAAGUGACAAAAUCAUGAUGAAAGAAACAAAAUUUUAGAAGUGCAUAAGUGAGCAUUUACAAACUAAUAUCUGAGAUUGUCAUAAUUCAGCUAUAUUAUCCAUGAUACUAUAACUUUCAGGCUACAUUCAGAACUCAAUACUAAGGUAAUAACAUCUAAACUUGACUCACAAAAUUGAUAAUAUUUGAGGAUAAUGAUAUCUCAAGCUGAAAUCUAAAUACCUUGAAAAAGUUGUUCCAUAAGCUUGUUGUUCCAAGACUUAAGGGAUGAUCCUCAUGAGUUAUCUCUGACCUUGAAAGGGCACCAGGGCCUUCGAUUUUGGGAUCAUUACUAUCGCCACCCUUUGAUUUCUCCAUCUUCCUAGUUACUUCAGACUAACUAGCCACAAAAAUAUAUAGAAACCGGGUAAUCUUAAAUUGAAAAAAGGCGAAAGUGACAUGAAAAAGGAAGAGCUAUCACCAAGAUAACGUAAGCAUCUCUAUAAUGACCGAUUCAUCAUUAUUAACUACUUUAUUUCUAAUUGUACAUCUAAGAAAUAUCAUAUGCACAAUGGUCCUAGAACAGUCUGCUUAGUCAAACACAUGACAUCUAUUUAGCUGUCAUGUCAACAUAUUAAACCAACAAAUACAAGCAUGUGGAUCAAAACUAAUAAAAAUGUAUGCUUUCCCAUUAAUCAUCACUGAAUUCUACUUAAUGACAGUGAAUUUCCAUCAACACGUCGCCCUUAGCUAGCGGCAACAAACCCAUUAUGUCUACUUCAUCACUCGUUUGUGUCUGUUCGGUCAAUCUAAUGGACUUACGGGAUUCAUAAGAAGCUCCUCUUUGAAUUGCUUGUACUGAGACCUUUUCUUAGCUAACUCAGAAGACCACAGGGAACGAUCAGGUGAAAGAUAGCCCAGUAAAAGCUGUCAAUAGAAACAGUUAAAACUCAAAUCCGUUCCUUUAAAGAUCCAAAGAUAUUCGUUUUGGGUACCUUCCAGACGAGGGAGCGAAUGCCAGCAUCAUCAGGUAGACCUUGUGAAGCGAUUUUCCUCAAUUCCUUUAAGUCUAUCACCUUCUUCGACAACUAUCACAAAGACCAAUCAAUCAAUCAAUCGAAAGAAAAGAAUGUAUAAUGAGUUUAAGGACUAACCUCAGCGACGACCUGCGUCUUCCGGGAAACAUCCUCAGCCGCGGGAGUUACGCUUCCAGGUCCAUCUACCCCGCUCCCAUUCUGCAAAUCGUUGGUCUCAGAUUUGGAAGGAGGACGAAUCGGAGCUGGUGCGGUGGAAAUCGCGGAGGGAGAAGGAGACGGACGCUCGACGAUCGGAGGAGAUGGAGGGACGGUGGUGGCAGCGGCGGGAGGAGGGCGGAGAGGGCGAUCGUCGGGGAUGGGAGAAGGAGAGGAGGACCAGAGCGAACUGUUGAGCCACU
Molecule: long non-coding RNA, 4296 nt
Filed under: Brassica napus (rape)
Lineage: Eukaryota; Viridiplantae; Streptophyta; Magnoliopsida; Brassicales; Brassicaceae
Description: long non-coding RNA (BNAP_LNC003453)
Source: RNAcentral